UGGGGAAUUUUGGACAAUGGGGGCAACCCUGAUCCAGCAAUGCCGCGUGUGUGAAGAAGGCCUUCGGGUUGUAAAGCACUUUUGUCCGGAAAGAAAACGCCGUGGUUAAUACCCGUGGCGGAUGACGGUACCGGAAGAAUAAGCACCGGCUAACUACGUGCCAGCAGCCGCGGUAAUACGUAGGGUGCAAGCGUUAAUCGGAAUUACUGGGCGUAAAGCGUGCGCAGGCGGUCCGCUAAGACAGAUGUGAAAUCCCCGGGCUUAACCUGGGAACUGCAUUUGUGACUGGCGGGCUAGAGUAUGGCAGAGGGGGGUAGAAUUCCACGUGUAGCAGUGAAAUGCGUAGAGAUGUGGAGGAAUACCGAUGGCGAAGGCAGCCCCCUGGGCCAAUACUGACGCUCAUGCACGAAAGCGUGGGGGAGCAAACAGGAUUAGAUACCCUGGUAGUCCACGCCCUAAACGAUGUCAACUAGUUGUCGGGUCUUCAUUGACUUGGUAACGUAGCUAACGCGUGAAGUUGACCGCCUGGGGAGUACGGUCGCAAGAUUAAAAACUCAAAUGAAUUGAC
This 568-nucleotide ribosomal RNA is filed under the name uncultured bacterium. RNAcentral's name for it is "partial 16S ribosomal RNA". It matches the Rfam family "Bacterial small subunit ribosomal RNA", at positions 355 to 914 of the family's 1533-position model. The record is from RNAcentral.